RNAcentral lists this ribosomal RNA (526 nucleotides) under [Candida] sp. Q1mMA148. Its description in RNAcentral is "eukaryotic LSU rRNA". It matches the Rfam family "Eukaryotic large subunit ribosomal RNA", at positions 41 to 646 of the family's 3401-position model. The record is from RNAcentral. Lineage: Eukaryota; Fungi; Ascomycota; Saccharomycetes; Saccharomycetales.
UAUCAAUAAGCGGAGCACACGGGCCCCUGCCUUGAACAGCACNCACUUCAAGCANUGUUUCNUUGNNCACGCACCUUGUCUAUGUUCCUUGAAACACGCCGUCNCAUAGGGUGAGAAUCCCGGGGGANGAGGAGUCCAAUUCUAUGUANGGNUCCUUCGAAGAGUCGAGUUGUUUGGGAAUGCAGCUCUAAGUGGGUGGUAAAUUCCAUCUAAAGCUAAAUAUUGGCGAGAGACCGAUAGCGAACAAGUACAGUGAUGGAAAGAUGAAAAGAACUUUGAAAAGAGAGUGAAAAAGUACGUGAAAUUGUUGAAAGGGAAGGGCUUUUGAUCAGACUUGGUGUUUAGUACUCUCUGCUCCUUGUGGGUGGGGCUCUUGCUUUAUACUGGGCCAGCAUCGGUUUUGAUGGCAGGAUAAUGACUUUGGAACGUGGCUUCAUUCGUGAAGUGUUAUAGCCUUUGUUGAUACUGCCUAUCGGGACCGAGGACUGCGUCUUUGACUAGGAUGCUGGCGUAAUGAUUAAAAGCC